Molecule: ribosomal RNA, 253 nt
Filed under: uncultured bacterium
Lineage: Bacteria
Description: partial 16S ribosomal RNA
Rfam family: Bacterial small subunit ribosomal RNA
Source: RNAcentral
UACGGAGGAGGCAAGCGUUAUCCGGAAUUAUUGGGCGUAAAGCGUCCGUAGGUGGUUUAGUAAGUCUGCUGUUAAAGCGCGGGGCUUAACUCCGUAUCGGCAGUGGAAACUACUAGACUAGAGUGUGGUAGGGGUAGAGGGAAUUCCCAGUGUAGCGGUGAAAUGCGUAGAUAUUGGGAAGAACGCCGGUGGCGAAGGCGCUCUACUGGGCCAUAACUGACACUGAUGGACGAAAGCUAGGGGAGCGAAAGGG